This 1511-nucleotide ribosomal RNA is filed under the name Henneguya brachypomus. Its description in RNAcentral is "SSU rRNA". It matches the Rfam family "Eukaryotic small subunit ribosomal RNA", at positions 530 to 1771 of the family's 1831-position model. Lineage: Eukaryota; Metazoa; Cnidaria; Myxozoa; Bivalvulida; Myxobolidae. The record is from RNAcentral.
AAUUGACUUGAGUAACGACUGGAGGGCAAGUCUGGUGCCAGCAGCCGCGGUAAUUCCAGCUCCAGUAGCGUAUCUCAAAGUUGCUGCGCUUAAAACGCUCGUANUUGGAUCACGCACUGCGCGCGGGUGGACUCGCAGAGCGGCGCGUCAAACCUCUGUGAUCUGGACGUUGUGUUCUCACGGNGAUCCGGGUACAGGGGAGUGCCNCUUGUGGGUUGUCAGCCCGCGCGUAGUAAUUGCACGUGAGGAUGGCCGUUGACCUUUGGUGCGUCGACGGCCGUGUCUCACGGGGNGUGCCUUGAGUAAAUCAGAGUGCUCAAAGCAGGCGAAAGCUUGAAUGUUGAUAGCAUGGAACGAACAAUCGUGUAUGGUGCGCACCGAGGAUGGCUCCGCGAGGGGUCUACAUCGCGGUGCGUGACACCGACCGCCAAUUACGGAUGUUGGUUUCCGUAUUGGGGUACUGAUUAAGAGGAGCGGUUGGGGGCAUUGGUAUUUGGCAGCGAGAGGUGAAAUUCUUGGACCUGCCAAGGACUAACAAAUGCGAAGGCAUCUGUCCAGACCGUAUCCAUUAAUCAAGAACGAUAGCGGGAGGUUCGAAGACGAUCAGAUACCGUCCUAGUUCUCGCUGUAAACUAUGCCGACCCGGGAUCAGUUUGGAGCGUUUUCCAAGCUCGAGGUUGGUCCCCCUGGGAAACCUGAAGUUUUUCGGUUGCGGGGGGAGUAUGGUCGCAAGGCUGAAACUUAAAGGAAUUGACGGAAGGGCACCACCAGGGGUGGAGCCUGCGGCUUAAUUUGACUCAACACGGGAAAACUUACCUGGUCCGGACAUUAAAAGGAUAGACAGACCGAGAGAUCUUUCUUGAUAUGAUGAUUGGUGGUGCAUGGCCGUUCUUAGUUCGUGGAGUGAUCUGUCAGGUUGAUUCCGGUAACGAACGAGACCACGUUCUUCAUUUGACGAGUUGAAGAAGGCGCCCAAUUGGCAGGUGGUCGCUUGCGAUCAUCUGUGCUAGUGGGUGCUGUAGGCAAUAUUGGUAGACGAUUUGGCCUCGGCCGUGGUGGUGUCCCCAUUGCGGUCGGGGUCGGAGCACUCGAUCCAUGCCUUCCCUUCAAGUUUGCAGUAUGCGUGUCCGAAAGGUGCGUGCAUUGCCUCAUGGAGAGACAGCGGAGAAUAUAACAAAGUCCGAGGAAGUGUGGCUAUAACAGGUCUGUGAUGCCCUUAGAUGUUCAGGGCUGCACGCGCGCUACAAUGGCGGCGACAGCGAGUUUCUGGAUCGAGAGAUUCGGGUAACCUUGUAAUCGCCGCCGUGAUGGGGAUCGAUGCUUGUAAAUGCGUCGUGAAAGAGGAAUCCCUAGUACGUGCGAUUCAUGAGAUCGCGCGGAUUCAGUCCCUGCCCUUUGUACACACCGCCCGUCGCUACUACCGAGUGAAUGGUGUCAUGAUGCCUUGGGAGCGGACGUUGCGCUGGGCCUCGUGCCUGGAGUGACGCUGCGAUCAGCGUAGAAUGGCGCGA